GAUGAACGCUAGCGGCAGGCCUAACACAUGCAAGUCGAGGGGUAACAUAGAGAAGCUUGCUUUUCUGAUGACGACCGGCGCACGGGUGCGUAACGCGUAUAGAAUCUACCUUUUGCUGAGGGAUAGCCUUUGGAAACGAAGAUUAAUACCUCAUAGUCUAUAAUAAUGGCAUCAUUAUAAUAGUAAAGGUUACGGCAAAAGAUGACUAUGCGUCCUAUUAGCUAGAUGGAGUGGUAACGGCACCCCAUGGCAACGAUAGGUAGGGGCCCUGAGAGGGGGAUCCCCCACACUGGUACUGAGACACGGACCAGACUCCUACGGGAGGCAGCAGUGAGGAAUAUUGGACAAUGGAGGCAACUCUGAUCCAGCCAUGCCGCGUGCAGGAAGACUGCCCUAUGGGUUGUAAACUGCUUUUAUACAGGAAGAAACACUCUCACGUGUGAGAGCUUGACGGUACUGUAAGAAUAAGGAUCGGCUAACUCCG
RNAcentral lists this ribosomal RNA (484 nucleotides) under uncultured Flavobacteriaceae bacterium. Its description in RNAcentral is "bacterial SSU rRNA". It matches the Rfam family "Bacterial small subunit ribosomal RNA", at positions 28 to 505 of the family's 1533-position model. Lineage: Bacteria; Pseudomonadati; Bacteroidota; Flavobacteriia; Flavobacteriales; Flavobacteriaceae. The record is from RNAcentral.